CACACAGUGUUCCCCACACACAUACGGACUUUUUCACCCUUGUCCAGCGGUCAGGUUUCUUUUGGAUGGACUGUUGAUGAUGGCGAGCUACCCGCCCAACACUGGAGUCCUCUCCUCCCUCAAAGUGUGGUAGGAACACGUACUCUGGAACUUGAAUGAACCGAAACUAACCGAACUGAACUUGAAUGAACUGAAAAGAA
This is a non-coding RNA of Plectropomus leopardus (leopard coralgrouper), 200 nucleotides long. Lineage: Eukaryota; Metazoa; Chordata; Actinopteri; Perciformes; Serranidae. The record is from RefSeq and is a predicted model, not a curated record.